RNAcentral lists this ribosomal RNA (468 nucleotides) under uncultured bacterium. Its description in RNAcentral is "partial 16S ribosomal RNA". It matches the Rfam family "Bacterial small subunit ribosomal RNA", at positions 28 to 507 of the family's 1533-position model. The record is from RNAcentral.
GACGAACGCUGGCGGCGUGCUUAACACAUGCAAGUCGAACGGAAAGGCCCUGCGUUUGUGGGGUGCGCGAGUGGCGAAAGGGUGAGUAACACGUGAGUAACCUGCCCUUGACUUUGGGAUAACUGCAGGAAACUGGGGCUAAUACCGGAUAGGAGCUCCUGCUGCAUGGUGGGGGUGGGAAAGUUUCGGCGGUUGGGGAUGGACUCGCGGCUUAUCAGCUUGUUGGUGGGGUAGUGGCUUACCAAGGCUUUGACGGGUAGCCGGCCUGAGAGGGUGACCGGCCACAUUGGGACUGAGAUACGGCCCAGACUCCUACGGGAGGCAGCAGUGGGGAAUAUUGCACAAUGGGCGGAAGCCUGAUGCAGCAACGCCGCGUGCGGGAUGACGGCCUUCGGGUUGUAAACCGCUUUCGCCUGUGACGAAGCGAGAGUGACGGUAAUGGGUAAAGAAGCACCGGCUAACUACGUG